RNAcentral lists this transfer RNA (71 nucleotides) under Hanseniaspora uvarum. It matches the Rfam family "tRNA". Rfam says of the family: Transfer RNA (tRNA) molecules are approximately 80 nucleotides in length. Their secondary structure includes four short double-helical elements and three loops (D, anti-codon, and T loops). Further hydrogen bonds mediate the characteristic L-shaped molecular structure. tRNAs have two regions of fundamental functional importance: the anti-codon, which is responsible for specific mRNA codon recognition, and the 3' end, to which the tRNAs corresponding amino acid is attached (by aminoacyl-tRNA synthetases). tRNAs cope with the degeneracy of the genetic code in two manners: having more than one tRNA (with a specific anti-codon) for a particular amino acid; and 'wobble' base-pairing, i.e. permitting non-standard base-pairing at the 3rd anti-codon position. The record is from Rfam by way of RNAcentral. Lineage: Eukaryota; Fungi; Ascomycota; Saccharomycetes; Saccharomycodales; Saccharomycodaceae.
CAGUAUUUAUUUCAAUAGUAGAAUAUAGAUUUUGGGAAUUUAUGAUCUAAGUGCGAUUCUUAGGAUACUGA